AAUGUGGGGACCUGGAAAUGGCCACCACAAGAUAUGUCUCUUUGGCAUCAGGAUUAUUUGAGGCUGAUUGCUUUUGAUAAAGUGGGACAGGGAAGGAGGCUCUGAGGAAUGGAACUUGCCCUUUGUUAGCACACAUUUACAUUUGUAAGGUAAAUCUCUAUCUGUAAAAGUUGCCUGCCUCUCUGUACCAGGAAGAAGAAAGGAGAUGACCUUCUCUGUAAAAACUCUUAAUCAAUACCAAAGACAAGGACUUAAAAUCUGCAUUUUAUUGUGCUUGUCUGGUAACUGACUUCCUCCUGUAACUGACUUCCCUCCCCCUCCCAACGUUGGCAUUUCUUUAAGGAUUAAGCAUCUUUCCUUAGGCUAGGAACUGAUUGCUGAGCUCACCUGUGACCACCCAGCUCCAGACAAUAGACUUUCCUCCUGCUACGCCCACCAAGAUAGCAGACCAUUACCUGCUGUGUCCAUCAAGCACUGUUGCGACAGGGCAAUCUUGUGACUAUUGUGGGAGGGACAUUUCAAUCACAUGUGAAACACCCUGUUUGGGGGUAUAUAACUACUAUGUGCACCCCACUUCUUCGGUGCCCUUUCUUCCUUUGGGAAGAAAGGCCCCAGGCCAUGGUUCUUCAUAAAGCUUUGUUUAAUUUUCUCUUGCUAUUCUGUCUCAUGUGAAUUUAAUUCAUUCUCCGGCCAGUCGAACCCACAUUUGGGAAGAGGAAAUCUCUUCCUCCCCUACAGUUUUGGUGUAGUCGGCAGGAUGAUAUUUCACUGGCUGGACACUGCUUGCUGCUGGACUGCUGCGGCAGAGAGAUCCUGGACUCCUGAGGAGAGCUGGCAAGAGGCUGGAUUGCGAUCCCUUCCUCUGGCACCUGACCACUCUCUGAACUGCAGGAAAGUCCCAAUCGAGACUCCAGUUCAAGGCCUAACUUUGGGAGCCCACCUGCAUCGCCGCCUUUUAAAAUGACUUUAGCUGGACUGAUCUAUUAACAGGAAUAAGAAAUGUGUUCAGUGAGAUGAAACAAUCUACCACUCAGCUUCUGGAUUGUGAAACUUUUAGUUUCAAAGGCGGGACUGUGGGUACCUGGAAUUGGCCACCCCAAGAUAUGUCUCUUUGGCAUCAGGAUU
Molecule: long non-coding RNA, 1125 nt
Filed under: Equus caballus (horse)
Lineage: Eukaryota; Metazoa; Chordata; Mammalia; Perissodactyla; Equidae
Description: lncRNA (ENSECAG00000055936.1)
Source: RNAcentral